GGGAGCGUAGAUCAAUUGGUUAGAUCGUUAGCCUGUCACGCUAAAGGUUGCGGGUUCAAGUCCCGUCGCUCUCG
RNAcentral lists this transfer RNA (74 nucleotides) under Caulobacteraceae bacterium. Its description in RNAcentral is "tRNA-Asp". It matches the Rfam family "tRNA". From Rfam's summary of the family: Transfer RNA (tRNA) molecules are approximately 80 nucleotides in length. Their secondary structure includes four short double-helical elements and three loops (D, anti-codon, and T loops). Lineage: Bacteria; Pseudomonadati; Pseudomonadota; Alphaproteobacteria; Caulobacterales; Caulobacteraceae. The record is from RNAcentral.